UACGAAGGGGGCUAGCGUUGUUCGGAAUUACUGGGCGUAAAGCGCGCGCAGGCGGUCUUCCAAGUCAGUGGUGAAAGCCCGGAGCUCAACUCCGGAACUGCCAUUGAAACUGUUGGACUUGAUGAUGAGAGAGGUGAGUGGAAUUCCCAGUGUAGAGGUGAAAUUCGUAGAUAUUGGGAAGAACACCGGUGGCGAAGGCGGCUCACUGGCUCAUUACUGACGCUCAGGCGCGACAGCGUGGGGAUCAAACAGG
This 253-nucleotide ribosomal RNA is filed under the name uncultured bacterium. RNAcentral's name for it is "partial 16S ribosomal RNA". It matches the Rfam family "Bacterial small subunit ribosomal RNA", at positions 524 to 776 of the family's 1533-position model. The record is from RNAcentral.